Molecule: small RNA, 240 nt
Filed under: Microtus ochrogaster (prairie vole)
Lineage: Eukaryota; Metazoa; Chordata; Mammalia; Rodentia; Cricetidae
Description: 7SK RNA (ENSMOCG00000007769.1)
Rfam family: 7SK RNA
About the family: 7SK was discovered as an abundant small nuclear RNA in the mid-70s but a possible function has only recently been suggested. Two independent studies have found that 7SK RNA binds the CDK9/cyclin T complex (known as elongation factor P-TEFb).
Source: RNAcentral
CAAUCCAUAUGCAAAAUCUAUUCCUCCAUUGAUCAGGAGGGUUGGUUCAUUUGAUAUGGCUGGCUAAAAUGUUCUUUUACUCUCUCACCACUCCAGGUGUGUCCUUCCAAAAGGUGCAAAUUUCAAAGCAAAAUUCCUUUACAGAGAAGGAUUUUACUUUGGUCAAGAGUAUUCAAAUAUCUCUGAUCCUCCAAACAAACUCCCAGAAUUUCAUCUUUAUAGUUGAAGCAGUAGGAGUCU